Molecule: ribosomal RNA, 520 nt
Filed under: uncultured prokaryote
Description: bacterial SSU rRNA
Rfam family: Bacterial small subunit ribosomal RNA
Source: RNAcentral
UUGUAGGGUUCCUAUUUGCAUAAGGCUGGGGUCGGAGACUUAAAAGCUCAAAGGAGUGGACGGGCUGCCUCCUGUAAGAUAAGGGGCCCAUGACGGUUCCGUAAGAAUAAGCACCGGCUAACUACGUGCCAGCAGCCGUGGUAAUACGUAAGGUGCGAGCGUUAAUCGGAAUUACUGGGCGUAAAGCGUGCGCAGGCGGUUAUCUAAGACAGAUGUGAAAUCCCCGGGCUCAACCUGGGAACUGCAUUUGUGACUGUAUAGCUAGAGUGCGGCAGACGGGGAUGGAAUUCCGCGUGUAACAGUGAAAUGCGUAAAUAUGCGGACGAACACCGAUGGCGAAGGCAAUCCCCUGGGCCUGCACUGACGCUCAUGCACGAAAGCGUGGGGAGCAAACAGGAUUACAUACCCUGGUAGUCCACGCCCUAAACGAUGUCAACUGGUUGUUGGGUCUUCACUGACUCAGUAACGAAGCUAACGCGUGAAGUUGACCGCCUGGGAGUAGCCGAAAGUUAAACUCAAA